AGAUAAAAGAAAACUCGCUGAAGAAGCUAAAGGCCAUCCCAAAAAGUGCUUAUGAAAAGUGUUACGAGGACUGGAAAAAUCAUUUCCAGAAGUACAUUUCAUCUUUUGGGGAUUACAUUGAAGUCGACAAAAUAAAUAUUGUUGAAUAAAUACAUAUUUUGCAUUUAAUUUACAAUUUCCCAGUACUCUUUUGACACAAUGUAUAUGAGAAGCGCUAAAAAUAGUAUGGCUUUUUGUCUGUUGAUAAAGCAACACUCGUGUUGUGUAAAUCUGUACUUUACAAAAGGUAACUAAGUGCAUAUCAUCUUCAAUUCACCGAAACGCACACAAAGAGUGCAUUAGUUUUACAUUUACAUUUGAAAAGGCCGGAAAAGCGAAGUUGGUUUUUAGGUGUUAAGUCAUUAAAUGAUAGCGAACCAAACAAGCUUGGAAUUUAUAAUGAAUGUGAAUCACACAAAAGUAUUAAUUGUAGAAAUAGAUAUAGUAAAUAACUAUCUGUAUAUAUACUCAGAUACAUAUUUACAUUACAUAGUAGCACUUAACAUUUCAA
Molecule: long non-coding RNA, 550 nt
Organism: Bactrocera neohumeralis
Lineage: Eukaryota; Metazoa; Arthropoda; Insecta; Diptera; Tephritidae
Exons: 2
Source: RefSeq, a predicted model, not a curated record